AAAGUCGUAACAAGGUUUCCGUAGGUGAACCUGCAGAAGGAUCAUUAUCAUAGGGCUCCGGCCCCGUCGAGAUAGCACCCUUGCCUUUACAGUACCGCCCGUUUCCUCAGCAGGCUCGCCUGCCAAUAGGGACAGCAAAACACCCUAAUACCACCUGUAACCGUCUAAUAAAACAAACAAAAAUCAAAACUUUCAACAACAGAUCUCUUGGUUCUA
RNAcentral lists this unclassified non-coding RNA (216 nucleotides) under Ascomycota sp. RNAcentral describes it as "partial contains small subunit ribosomal RNA, internal transcribed spacer 1, and 5.8S ribosomal RNA". The stretch from base 1 to 47 matches the Rfam family "Eukaryotic small subunit ribosomal RNA", at positions 1785 to 1831 of the family's 1831-position model. The record is from RNAcentral. Lineage: Eukaryota; Fungi; Ascomycota.